This is a non-coding RNA of Podarcis lilfordi (Lilford's wall lizard), 328 nucleotides long. The record is from the annotation of a GenBank genome assembly. NCBI's taxonomy places the organism in Eukaryota, Metazoa, Chordata, Lepidosauria, Squamata, Lacertidae.
GCCUGCCAAAGAGACCUAUUCUGAUAUAGCUGACAGUUGAUUUUAUUAAGUAUUUGCACAGUCUCAAGCCUCUUUCUCCCGCUCUCUAUGCAUUAACCUGUGGAACAAGGUUACCAGUCCAAGGUCAUCUCACUCUGCGUGCCAAGGCCGGGAUUCGAACUCGCGGAAAACCGUAAGCAGCUCUUGUCCGCGCAGGCGCCGUAACCACCUACUCCAUGGAGCGUUCUGAGCAUCUCCUCUCACCAGGGACUAUUUUAAUACCCGAGAAAGAGAACGCGGAGGGGAACAAGGUGAACUUCCUCCUCCUCCUCUGCCUAGAAAGUCUACC